This is an RNA transcript of Vicia villosa (hairy vetch), 1502 nucleotides long. It is a transcript of the gene named 26S proteasome non-ATPase regulatory subunit 14 homolog, with no coding region annotated. The record is from RefSeq and is a predicted model, not a curated record. Lineage: Eukaryota; Viridiplantae; Streptophyta; Magnoliopsida; Fabales; Fabaceae. The transcript is spliced from 7 exons.
AAUCGGUGCAGAGAACCAGAUCAACAUCUCAUCAUCUUCUCCAUCAGUAAAACAAUCCCUCCAAUCGAUUUCCUCCGUCUCAACCAUAACUUUCCAAUUGAAACUCGAAAAAGCUUCACACCCACUCGCAAACCUCUUCAUAUCACCCAUCGGCGGCGCUUUUCUCCCUCCACCAACAGAUCUAGUCUCAUCGAAUGGCUCAAAAUGAUUCAUUAAUUGUCGAUCUGUUCUCAAAAUGCUCAAACAUGGAAGGGUUGGUGUUCCUAUGGAGGUUAUGGGUUUGAUGUUGGGAGAGUUUGUGGAUGAGUAUACUGUUCGUGUUGUUGAUGUGUUUUCUAUGUCGCAGAGUGGGACUGGUGUUAGUGUUGAAGUUGUUGAUCAUGUUUUUCAAACUAAUAUGCUUGAUAUGUUGAAACAAACUGGAAGUUGGCAGUAUUGGCUGGAGAUUUUUUUCUUUCCCGGGCUUGUGUCACUUUGGCCUCUUUAAAGAACACAGAGGUUGUUUCUUUGUUGGCAAAAGUUUAGAACAUAUUGUAACAGGGGAGACUAUGCAAAUGACUACAACAUCUGAUCAACGGUGUAGCAUGGAAUUCUGCAAUCAUGUGUACAUUUGAAGUGCACAUUUGAACGUGGAAUUCUGCAUGUGUACUUCAAUUCAAACGCCACCGUUACCGCAGAUAGUUCAUAUCAGCCAAUGGUUCAUUUUCUGUUGAGUUUCUUAUGGUUUGAAGGAACCUUCAUGUGCAAGCGGCGUAUGCGAGUUUCCUUUGGGACGCAGAGGAAUAAGGAUGCAGGUUUUUAUGAGGAUGCAGGAAGAUGAGAAUGCAGGUUCUGAUGAGGAUGCAGGUUCUGAUGAGGAUGCAGGAAGAUGAGGAUGCAGUUUCACCUUUGUUGUGUUGGUUGUUGAUUUUGUACCAACUGAUUCAGUUUUGCACGGGCUAACUAGUGACUCAUUAUGGGAUGGAUUGGAUUGAUAUCGGAAGAAGUAUUAGCGAGUAAGCAUACAAGCAAUAAAGUGAAAAUUGGUGAUUUUGGAGUAGCUGCAAUUCUCCAAGGCUCUCAAUCAACUCAUAGUGUUAUAGGUAACUACUUUUCGCCAAUAAUUUUCAUCGUUAGUAUAUUAGUUGUUAUGUUAGUAUUUUUUCGUUUGUAAGACUUUGAAUUCUGAGCCUUCAACUCGUUAGGUACACCCGAGUCCAUGUUGGUUUUGAUGAUGACUUUUAUGCUUUUGGACCAUUCCGAAUCUGCGUGGAUUUAUGUGGUGCAUCAUUGGUUUUGAAAUUGUACUUGGCUCACUGAAGCAUGAAUUUUAGAUGCUCCUGUUACUUUUGAACUGAGCAUAUUAUGCAACUGUUUUGAUUGGAAAGAUUAUGUAACGAUGUUCUUAUGAUUGCAAGUUAUAAACCCACUUUGGCCAUGAAAAGAUCUUUGAAAAGAAUUAAUUUAGGGAAGGUUGUACCUACUAGUUGUUUCUGAAGGAUAGAAAAACACUUAGAAAGGAG